UCCUCCCUCUUUCUUCGUGCCUAAUACAUGCAAGUAGAACGCUGAAGGAGGAGCUUGCUUCUCUGGAUGAGUUGCGAACGGGUGAGUAACGCGUAGGUAACCUGCCUGGUAGCGGGGGAUAACUAUUGGAAACGAUAGCUAAUACCGCAUAAGAGUAGAUGUUGCAUGACAUUUGCUUAAAAGGUGCAAUUGCAUCACUACCAGAUGGACCUGCGUUGUAUUAGCUAGUUGGUGGGGUAACGGCUCACCAAGGCGACGAUACAUAGCCGACCUGAGAGGGGGAUCGGCCACACUGGGACUGAGACACGGCCCAGACUCCUACGGGAGGCAGCAGUAGGGAAUCUUCGGCAAUGGACGGAAGUCUGACCGAGCAACGCCGCGUGAGUGAAGAAGGGUUUCGGAUCGUAAAGCUCGGUUGUAAGAGAAGAACGAGUGUGAGAGUGGAAAGUUCACACUGUGACGGUAUCUUACCAGAAAGGGACGGCUAACUACGUG
RNAcentral lists this ribosomal RNA (495 nucleotides) under uncultured bacterium. Its description in RNAcentral is "partial 16S ribosomal RNA". It matches the Rfam family "Bacterial small subunit ribosomal RNA", at positions 36 to 507 of the family's 1533-position model. The record is from RNAcentral.